RNAcentral lists this long non-coding RNA (277 nucleotides) under Zea mays. RNAcentral describes it as "long non-coding RNA (ZMAY_LNC005577)". The record is from RNAcentral. Lineage: Eukaryota; Viridiplantae; Streptophyta; Magnoliopsida; Poales; Poaceae.
CUUCUCGUUUGGAGAGGCCGACAUUGACAGCACAGUGAAAACAGCAAAGAAGAAAGGGUCCAGCAACUUGUCUACUGAUCUGAACGGCAAGACCAUGCCCAAGAAGGAUUCAGCGUCUGCAGAGAAACAGCCUCCGAACCGUGCGAGGCCGAAAGGAAUGAGUGGCAGCAGCAAUUUUGCAGACGGGAAGGCCUCAACCUCAACAACCGGAGAUCAUGAAGGCCGUCGUACCCGGCAGCCUCCUGGCGGCGACAGCAGCAUUUUGCUGGGCUAGCGU